AAAGGAAAGACAAAAAUCUAAUUAUAAUAUUGUUUAGUGCAUUAUUUCAUUUUAUUAUCAACAUCUUUGAGUACAAAUCCACAAUUGCAGGGUCUGUAAAAUUACAAAAUAAAAAAUACAAUUAUUGUGCCUGAUACUCCUGCUUUGUUGCAUGGAAUUUGUGUAAUUUCAUGUCUAAUACUCAUUCAAUAAGUGGCACGGGCACCAAUGGCACAGACUCUAAUAGAAAAAGUUCACAUCGGUAGUUAAUGCAUUCAUAAAGAAAAGUUUUCUCGUCGGGAACUUUUGGACAAUCAUAACUGUCUAAACAUUUAAAAUAUGCUGCAAUAAAAAAGAAAAUAUUCUUACUAAAAAAAUAAACGAUUAAUUGUAUACAAACUACAAUGUAAGAGUGGAAAACUGACUUACCCACAACCUCCUUCGCAAUAAGAAAUAGGGAAAGAAAUAAAAUCCAAGUAUAAACAUGCUUCAGAGUUUUAGCCAUAUUUUUUUUUAUCACUUUAUUAUAGCUAAUAAAGCUCUCGUGAAUUGCUAAAAACAAUUAAUUAUAUUUAUCGCUUUAACUCGGUUAAUAAAGGGGUAACAUAAAAAUCUUACUAAUAGUAUUUAGGAAUAAAAUUCUUUUAAUCAACUUUUCAACCUUUCGUGAUAGCAAGGAAAAAUAUAUAAUUUUAAAAUUAAUAAACCAUGA
Molecule: long non-coding RNA, 691 nt
Filed under: Trifolium pratense (red clover)
Lineage: Eukaryota; Viridiplantae; Streptophyta; Magnoliopsida; Fabales; Fabaceae
Description: long non-coding RNA (TPRA_LNC000961)
Source: RNAcentral